UACGUAGGGCGCAAGCGUUGUCCGGAAUUAUUGGGCGUAAAGAGCUCGUAGGCGGCUUGUCACGUCGGGUGUGAAAGCCCGGGGCUUAACCCCGGGUCUGCAUCCGAUACGGGCAGGCUAGAGUGUGGUAGGGGAGAUCGGAAUUCCUGGUGUAGCGGUGAAAUGCGCAGAUAUCAGGAGGAACACCGAUGGCGAAGGCAGGUCUCUGGGCCACUACUGACGCUGAGAAGCGAAAGCAUGGGGAGCGAACAGG
This 253-nucleotide ribosomal RNA is filed under the name uncultured bacterium. RNAcentral's name for it is "partial 16S ribosomal RNA". It matches the Rfam family "Bacterial small subunit ribosomal RNA", at positions 524 to 776 of the family's 1533-position model. The record is from RNAcentral.